RNAcentral lists this ribosomal RNA (657 nucleotides) under uncultured Friedmanniella sp. Its description in RNAcentral is "bacterial SSU rRNA". It matches the Rfam family "Bacterial small subunit ribosomal RNA", at positions 344 to 1010 of the family's 1533-position model. The record is from RNAcentral. Lineage: Bacteria; Bacillati; Actinomycetota; Actinomycetes; Propionibacteriales; Nocardioidaceae.
GGAGGCAGCAGUGGGGAAUAUUGCACAAUGGGCGAAAGCCUGAUGCAGCAACGCCGCGUGCGGGAUGACGGCCUUCGGGUUGUAAACCGCUUUCAGUAGGGACGAAGCUAACGUGACGGUACCUACAGAAGAAGCACCGGCCAACUACGUGCCAGCAGCCGCGGUGAUACGUAGGGUGCGAGCGUUGUCCGGAAUUAUUGGGCGUAAAGGGAUUGUAGGCGGUCCGUCGCGUCGGAAGUGAAAACUCAGGGCUUAACCCUGAGCCUGCUUCCGAUACGGGCGGACUAGAGGUAUGCAGGGGAGAACGGAAUUCCUGGUGGAGCGGUGGAAUGCGCAGAUAUCAGGAGGAACACCGGUGGCGAAGGCGGUUCUCUGGGCAUUACCUGACGCUGAGAAUCGAAAGCGUGGGGAGCAAACAGGCUUAGAUACCCUGGUAGUCCACGCCGUAAACGGUGGGCACUAGGUGUGGGGGACAUUCCACGUUCUCCGUGCCGAAGCUAACGCAUUAAGUGCCCCGCCUGGGGAGUACGGCCGCAAGGCUAAAACUCAAAGGAAUUGACGGGGGCCCGCACAAGCGGCGGAGCAUGCGGAUUAAUUCGAUGCAACGCGAAGAACCUUACCUGGGUUUGACAUAUGCCGGAAAGCUGCAGAGAUGUA